UUGAACGCUGGCGGCAUGCUUUACACAUGCAAGUCGAACGGCAGCGGGGGCUUCGGCCUGCCGGCGAGUGGCGAACGGGUGAGUAAUGCAUCGGAACGUACCCAGUCGUGGGGGAUAACUACGCGAAAGCGUAGCUAAUACCGCAUACGCCCUGAGGGGGAAAGCGGGGGACCUUCGGGCCUCGCGCGAUUGGAGCGGCUGAUGUCGGAUUAGCUAGUUGGUGGGGUAAAGGCCUACCAAGGCGACGAUCCGUAGCUGGUCUGAGAGGAUGAUCAGCCACACUGGGACUGAGACACGGCCCAGACUCCUACGGGAGGCAGCAGUGGGGAAUUUUGGACAAUGGGGGCAACCCUGAUCCAGCCAUGCCGCGUGAGUGAAGAAGGCCUUCGGGUUGUAAACCGCUUUUGUCAGGGAAGAAAUCUUCUGGGUUAAUACCUCGGGAGGAUGACGGUACCUGAAGAAUAAGCACCGGCUAACUACGU
RNAcentral lists this ribosomal RNA (482 nucleotides) under uncultured bacterium. Its description in RNAcentral is "bacterial SSU rRNA". It matches the Rfam family "Bacterial small subunit ribosomal RNA", at positions 30 to 506 of the family's 1533-position model. The record is from RNAcentral.